CAACACAAGCCCACAACCCGACUCACUUCCGCUUCUCCCACUUCAGGCCGCGGGCGUCUUCUCUCCCCGCGCCAGCGAACCGAUGGCGGCGGCUCCGAAGGCGGAGGCCAUGGACGUCGAGGCACCGGCUAGGCCGCCGUCCACCGCCUCGGAUACCAAGUACCGCUCCCCGCACGACCUCCUGGCCGAGACCCGCGCUUCCAUCGAGAAGGUCGCUGCCCGGAUGCUCGCCAUCAAGAGGGACGGCGUCCCCAAGUCGGAGCUCCGCGAGCUCGUCACCCAGAUGUCGCUCCUCCUCGUGACUCUCCGCCAAGUGAACAGGGAGAUACUGAUGGAGGAGGACAGGGUGAAGGCGGAGACGGAGGCCGCGAAGGCGCCGGUGGACUCCACGACGCUACAGCUGCACAACCUGCUGUACGAGAAGAACCACUACGUGAAGGCCAUAAGGGCGUGCCUGGACUUCCAGACGAAGUACCCGGGGAUAGAGCUCGUGCCGGAGGAGGAGUUCCAGCGUGCGGCGCCGGCGGACAUCCGCGACAAGACCCUCGCUGCUGACGCGUCCCACGACCUCAUGCUCAAGCGCCUCAACUUUGAGCUCGUCCAGCGGAAAGAGUUGUGCAAGCUACAUGAGAAAUUGGAACUCCAGAGGAGCAGUUUGCUGGAGACAAUUGCUAGUCAGAAAAAGUUUCUUUCAAGCCUUCCAUCACAUUUGAAAUCACUGAAGAAAGCAUCGUUGCCAGUGCAGCAGCAGCUGGGCAUGCAACAUACCAAGAAACUAAAACAACACCAUGCUGCCGAGUUGCUUCCAACCCCACUUUACAUAGCAUACACUCAGUUGUUAGGGCAGAAAGAAGCAUUUGGAGAGAAUAUUGAAGUAGAGAUCAUGGGAAGCACAAAGGAUGCCCAAAUAUUUGCUCAACAGCAAGCCAAGAAGGAAAAUGGCACCUUAUCAAAUGGUGACCACAACAGAAUGGACGAUGAUGUAAUUGAUGAUGAUGAAGAUGCUCAGAGAAGAAGAUCAAGAUCCAAAAAGAAUGUCAUGAAGGAAGCUAAUAGUCCUGCAGUGGCAUAUCAACUUCAUCCACUUAAACUUAUUGUCCAUGUAUACGAUACUGAAGAUUCUGGUGCUAAACGUCGUAAACUCAUCACCCUGAGGUUUGAAUACUUGGCAAAGUUGAAUGUUGUUUGUGUCGGAAUUGAAGAAUCUGAGGGCCUGGACAAUAAUAUCUUGUGCAACUUAUUUCCAGAUGACACUGGUUUAGAGCUGCCUCACCAGAUGGCCAAGAUUUAUGCUGGGGAGCCUCCAAACUUUACGGAUAAGAAUUCAAGACCAUACAAGUGGGCACAGCAUCUGGCUGGUAUCGAUUUUUUGCCAGAAGUCCCUCCAUCUGUUGGGGAUGAUUCAAACAGAGCAUUGAGCAGCUCUGAUUUGUCAUCUGGGCUUGCUCUAUACCGUCAGCAGAACCGCGCGCAGACUAUUUUGCAGAGAAUCCGCUCGCGGAAAGUUGCACAGAUGGCUCUUAUGUGAGUCUACAGUAUUUUCCGCUUGGGACAUCAGUGAGAAAAUGUGGAUGGUAGUUCAAUAUAGAAUGUGGCAACUUGAUUAUUUGACAAAGCUGAAGUGGCCUCGAAUAGAACAUAAGAAUACACCGUGGGCAUCACGCACCCCAUUGUGUAGUUUGCAUAGUUGGUCAUUGACAGUUUCUUUUCCUGAGCCAUUGUCUCGUUCUAGUUUGAUGGUAAGUGGGGCUGCAGGCAGUGUUGACAGUGAUCUAGAGAGAAGAUCUGUGACAAACUGGGAAGAAACUGAAAGUGUUAGAGAGGAUGGGGAGCUCCCAGUUGUCAUUCAUGCUGAGAACGAGACAAACAGUUCUGCAAUUUUGCCCUCUGAGAUGUCACCUGAGGUUCGGAGCCAUUCUAGAGGCUUAUCCCUGAUAUCAAAGAGUGCAACACCAUCUAAGCUAAGCGUCUCACACAGUUUUGGUAGAAAUGAGGAUGAUCUAGAUCUCUUGAUGUAUAGUGACAGUGAGUUGGAGGACCAGCCCUUCAUUCAGGAAGAAACUCAAAAAGGUAACCUAAUUAUAUACAAAUCCUGGGAGGAUUAUGCUUCCAAGGAGUUUACCAUGGUCUUGAGUAAAACUAUGAAGAAUGGUCCAAAAGUUAUGCUGGAAGCCAAGGUUAAGAUAAGCAUGGAAUAUCCUCUCAGGCCUCCCCUUUUCAUAUUAUGUUUGCUCUCAGAAAAGUCGGAAACUUUGAAGUGGCACAAUGACCUCCGUGCGAUGGAAACUGAGGUAAAUCUUCACAUCCUUAGAAGCCUGCCUUCAUCGUGUGAGGAUUAUAUAUUGACUCACCAAGUUAUGUGCCUGGCUAUGCUGUUUGACAUGCAUUUUGAUGAGGAUUACGAGAAAAGAAAAGUUACUUCAGUGAUUGAUGUUGGCCUCAGCAAACCUGUUAGUGGAACCAUGCUUACAAGAUCAGUUAGGGGAAGAGACCGUCGGCAGACUAUAUAUUGGAGAGGCGCUGAUUGCUCUUCAAGUUAUUUGUAGAGUAUGAGUAAUCAAUAUUUCUCUCAAUUGAGUUGACUUGAGCAUUGAUUGUCAUUUGGAGGAAACAGAGUUGGUGAUACUGCCCUUUCUGUCCUUUUUCUGGUACUGACAGAACUGAGCUUACACAGAUACCUGGUUAUGCUUGCUUUCUUGACAACAAUAGCCGAUAAGUUUGCCCGCUGGCCAUGUUGACUGUCCUUCGCUAUGUUUCUGGUUAUUUUACAAUGAUCUGCAGCCUGUAGGGAGCCUAUAUUUUAUGAGUUACCACAAGGAUGACUGCAUGUAUUUUGUAUUAUUGAGCUUAUCGAAAUGUUUGAGGCCUUAUCAUAUAUUUUGUAGUCUUGUCGAUACCGGCAACCGUUCAGAGUCUAUGAAACUCAUCCUCAACUCUGAACUAUAUCCUGAAUUUUACCCUGAACAUUUAUAGCUA
Panicum virgatum (switchgrass) is the source of this 2976-nucleotide RNA transcript. It is a transcript of the gene named THO complex subunit 5A-like, with no coding region annotated. The transcript is spliced from 8 exons. Lineage: Eukaryota; Viridiplantae; Streptophyta; Magnoliopsida; Poales; Poaceae. The record is from RefSeq and is a predicted model, not a curated record.